GGCCUUUUGUAUUUAAUUUAAGGUCUGACCUGCCCAGUGAUAAAUUUAACGGCCGCGGUAUCUUGACCGUGCAAAGGUAGCAUAAUCAUUAGUCUUUUAAUAGAGGGCUGGAAUGAACGGUUUAACGAGGGACUAGCUGUCUCAUUUUAUUUGUUUUAAAAUUUAAUUUUUUAGUUAAAAAGCUAAAAUUUUAUUGGUAGACGAGAAGACCCUAUAGAUCUUCAUAUAAUUUUUUGUAUUUAUUUUUAUAUUAACAUAAUUAUAUUAAAAUUUUAUUUUGUUGGGGUGACAAAAAUAUAUAUAUAACUUUUUUAUUUACUUACCAUUGAUAUAUGAGUAUUAGAUCCAUUAUUAUUGAUUGAUAGAAUAAGUUACCUUAGGGAUAACAGCGUAAUCCUCCUCCAGAGUUCAUAUUUACAGGAGGGCUUGCGACCUCGAUGUUGGAUUAAGAUAAUAAUUAGGUGUAGCCGCUUAAUUUAUAGGUCUGUUCGACCUUUAAAUUCUU
RNAcentral lists this ribosomal RNA (505 nucleotides) under Sympetrum croceolum. RNAcentral describes it as "partial 16S rRNA". It matches the Rfam family "Bacterial large subunit ribosomal RNA", at positions 1819 to 2597 of the family's 2925-position model. The record is from RNAcentral. Lineage: Eukaryota; Metazoa; Arthropoda; Insecta; Odonata; Libellulidae.